RNAcentral lists this ribosomal RNA (1441 nucleotides) under uncultured prokaryote. RNAcentral describes it as "partial 16S ribosomal RNA". It matches the Rfam family "Bacterial small subunit ribosomal RNA". The record is from RNAcentral.
AGAGUUUGAUUCUGGCUCAGAACGAACGCUGGCGGCAGGCUUAACACAUGCAAGUCGAACGAUAUAGUGGCAGACGGGUGAGUAACGCGUGGAAACGUGCCUUUCACUACGGAAUAGCUUUUGGAAACGAAAGGUAAUACCGUAUACGCCCUCCGGGGGAAAGAUUUAUCGGUGAAAGAUCGGUCCGCGUUAGAUUAGCUAGUUGGUGAGGUAACGGCUCACCAAGGCUACGAUCUAUAGCUGGUCUGAGAGGAUGAUCAGCCACACUGGGACUGAGACACGGCCCAGACUCCUACGGGAGGCAGCAGUGGGGAAUAUUGCACAAUGGGCGCAAGCCUGAUGCAGCCAUGCCGCGUGAAUGAUGAAGGCCUUAGGGUUGUAAAAUUCUUUCGCCAAGGAUGAUAAUGACAGUACUUGGUAAAGAAGCCCCGGCUAACUUCGUGCCAGCAGCCGCGGUAAUACGAAGGGGGCUAGCGUUGUUCGGAAUUACUGGGCGUAAAGCGCAUAGGCGGACUUUUAAGUCAGAUGUGAAAUCCCAAGGCUCAACCUUGGAACUGCAUUUGAAACUGGGAGUCUAGAGAUCAGGAGAGGUUAGUGGAAUACCGAGUGUAGAGGUGAAAUUCGUAGAUAUUCGGUGGAACACCAGUGGCGAAGGCGACUAACUGGACUGAUACUGACGCUGAGGUACGAAAGUGUGGGGAGCAAACAGGAUUAGAUACCCUGGUAGUCCACACCGUAAACGAUGAGAGCUAGUUGUCUGCAGGCAUGCCUGUAGGUGACGCAGCUAACGCAUUAAGCUCUCCGCCUGGGGAGUACGGCCGCAAGGUUAAAACUCAAAGAAAUUGACGGGGGCCCGCACAAGCGGUGGAGCAUGUGGUUUAAUUCGAAGCAACGCGAAGAACCUUACCUACGCUUGACAUGCCUGGACGACUCCGAGAGAUCGGUUUCUCCCUUCGGGGCCAGUGCACAGGUGCUGCAUGGCUGUCGUCAGCUCGUCGUGAGAUGUUGGGUUAAGUCCCGCAACGAGCGCAACCCUCAUCCUUAGUUGCCAUCACGUUUGGGUGGGCACUCUAGGGAAACUGCCGGUGCUAAGCCGGAGGAAGGCGGGGAUGACGUCAAGUCCUCAUGGCCCUUACGCGUAGGGCUACACACGUGCUACAAUGGCAGUGACAAUGGGAUAAUCCCCAAAAGCUGUCUCAGUUCGGAUUGUCGGCUGCAACUCGCCGGCAUGAAGUUGGAAUCGCUAGUAAUCGUGGAUCAGCAUGCCACGGUGAAUACGUUCCCGGGCCUUGUACACACCGCCCGUCACAUCACGAAAGUUAGUUGCUCUUGAAGUCGCUGAGUUAACCCUCGGGAGACAGGCGCCGACAGAGUGGCUGGCGAUUGGGGUGAAGUCGUAACAAGGUAGCUGUAGGAGAACCUGCGGCUGGAUCACCUCCUU